Molecule: long non-coding RNA, 2171 nt
Organism: Crocodylus porosus (Australian saltwater crocodile)
Lineage: Eukaryota; Metazoa; Chordata; Crocodylia; Crocodylidae
Source: Ensembl
GUGCUGAAUGACUCAGGUUCUAGUUCUACACUGACUCCAUCCUCCAUUUCCUGUGACCGGAAAAACCUGCAAGACCUCAAAUUGUGACUAGUCACUUAGGGCUAAAGGGCAUAACAUUGUUAACAUGUGGCUUUGGCGAUUCAUGCUGCCUGUAUGACUGAGUCUUUAGAGAGACCUUUUCCGGAUUCUGCUGCUUCAUAGAACCACAGAAGAUUCGGGUGCGAAGGGACCUCAGGAGAUCACGUCUAGUCCAACCCCCUGCUCAAAGCAGGACCAGCCCCAACUAGAUCAGCCCAGCCAAAGCUUUGUCUACCCAGGUCUUAAAAACUUCUAAGGAUGGAGCUUCCCCCACCUCUCAGGGUAACCUCUUCCAGUGUUUUACUAAGAAUUUUAAGAAACUUUUUCUUAAAUCUAACCUAAACUUCCCUUGCUGCAACUUAAGACCCCAUUGCACCUUGGUGGGCCAUCUGCCACCACUGAGCACAGUCCAGCUCCACCCUCGUUGCAACCCCCAGCAGGGAGUUGAAGGCUGCUAUUAAAUCCCCCCCUCGGUCUUCUCUUCUCCAGACCAAAUAAGCCCAUUUCCCUCACCCUCUCCUCACAAGUCAUGUGUCCCAGCCCCUUCCCCACUUUUGUUGCCCUGCCCUGAACUGUCUCUUUCAUGUAUUCGUAGCUCUGUGUGUUUUGCAGUGCGUCUGCCUUCUCCCAGCUUCCUACCAUAUACUCUUCCCUCCAAUGGUGUCUCCUGCUCCUUACUGCUACCUGAUUCUCCCCCUUCCCCUGUGGCUCACAGCGCUCCCUUGGGGAAGAUAUUCUUCAUCUCUCGGAGUAUUGAUUUAUACAGCUCUCCACCUGACUGGCACAAGAGCAGUGUGACCACAUGCAGGCAUCUGGGCUUAUUUAUGUACCAGCUUGGGAGCUCGGUGGCUUCUGGAUAUUGCUAAGCGAUUCUGAAAGCAAAAAAGAGAGAAAUGUGCCUGGCUGCAUAUUUUGUUACCAUCGUUCUGGGAUUGAUGUCACUGGUGACGCUCUUACCUCGGUAGACUGUUGCUGUGGGCACCUCGCCAGCGAGAUAGGAAGUUCUGCUACAUUUAUCCUGUCGGAUGCGUGUGGAAUAGGUAUGUCUGCGAGAGACCCAGCAUCUCGCUGGAGUAUUUUGUUUAUGUGGUAGGAGGAAUCUCAUUAACGCUAACUUGAGAGGAAUCCAGGAUUGCCAGCGAGAAGACAAAUGGAGCGGUGUUGUUGUCAUUUAUCAACUAGAGAGUGACCUUUGCUAUCCAUUAGGCUGAAAUGAAAAGCUUUGGGUUUUAACUUUGUUCCAAUGUGCAGGGCCGCUUUCUUACAUCUCACCAUCAGGGCAUGGCUGGGAUUAAUCAAAUAGUGCAUUUUGCCAGCGCUUAAACAAUAUCAUUGUAUAAUACAAGCAUGGGGUGGUUUCAAAGCACCAGGCAGAAGAAUUACAGGGAAGCCUGCUGCCAGGUAAAACCCCUCUGUGGUGUGGUCCCUCAUUCAGGGGCUUUCCUAAUGGCACUAGACUGUGUCAUGUAGAUGCAAGUUGUUUUAGCCAUUAUUUGGAGGGAUCAAUUGGCAGUAUGGCAGUCAGUGGACUUACACAGGCUUAUCCCAGCCAAGUGUCUCGCCUACGAAGAGUUGCCUCCUAUUAGGACCACGGGGAUUCAAACCUAGAGCAGCUAAGCUGGCAGGCAGAGGGUAAGUCCUUAGCCCCACCAGGUAGCUGGUUACCCCCCCGCCCCAGGCCCGGCCCUGGCCAACCUAGUCUCUCCAGUGAGGACAUUGAUGAGGAGUUGGGUGAUCAGGGGGAACCUAUAGGACAUGUAAGACCCUGACCACGGGGCUACAAAACCCCUCCUACUUCCUGUGGGACUUGUCCUAGUGAUGUCACUUGUGUGUGUGUUUCUUGGACCUCUUCCUGAUCCCUGUCCCUGCCUUGUUUGGACCUCCCGGCUCUGAUCUGCCAUCCGCCCUGAUCACGAUACAACCUCAACUCUUGGCCUGACAAUUUGUACUGCAGGUGUGACCCCAGCCUGCCUACGGGAACUCGCUAAGUGACCGCCCAUCGCCCGGUUGAUCCUGACAGCUCCUCUUACUAGUCAAGCAUGCAUCCCGUUUUUCCCCUAUCUAUUUGGCUGACAGUCCAGUUAGAGACAGUA